GCAACUUUUACCUGACGUUCCACUUCAUCUGCAGUCAUUGCACCACCAGAUCUAGCUAGGUGACCAAGAACUUUAGCAAGGACCAAGAUUUCAGGAUCACGCUUUGUUUCAAAAGCAACGCGCAUGUAGUUGGAGAAUUUUGCCACUUUUGAUGCAUUUUCGCUGAUGGUGACAUCUAUUAGCUCGUCAAUAGCCCUCAAUGCUCCCAGGUUUUCAGAAACUUCAUUACUAUCAAGAGAUGUGGUAACGCGUUCAUAUAGAUGAUCCAUAAAACGAGCAAAAGCUUCUCCACUAAGAUCACGAGCU
This 306-nucleotide unclassified non-coding RNA is filed under the name Hevea brasiliensis (rubber tree). Lineage: Eukaryota; Viridiplantae; Streptophyta; Magnoliopsida; Malpighiales; Euphorbiaceae. The record is from RNAcentral.